GGAGCGCUGGCAGAAUGGUAAUGCACUCGCCUCGAAAGCGAGCGCCCGAAAGGGCUUGGGGGUUCGAGUCCCUCGCGCUCCG
This 82-nucleotide transfer RNA is filed under the name Glycomyces sp. RNAcentral's name for it is "tRNA-Ser". It matches the Rfam family "tRNA". From Rfam's summary of the family: Transfer RNA (tRNA) molecules are approximately 80 nucleotides in length. Their secondary structure includes four short double-helical elements and three loops (D, anti-codon, and T loops). The record is from RNAcentral. RNAcentral also lists the same sequence under 8 other names. Lineage: Bacteria; Bacillati; Actinomycetota; Actinomycetes; Glycomycetales; Glycomycetaceae.